This 589-nucleotide small RNA is filed under the name Pongo abelii (Sumatran orangutan). RNAcentral describes it as "processed transcript". The record is from RNAcentral. Lineage: Eukaryota; Metazoa; Chordata; Mammalia; Primates; Hominidae.
AAGUGGGAGCACCGCGGUUUCGGGGAAGAGACCGGGUUGAGCGUCUAGCGCAGCUCAGCGUGACUUCCGCCAGCGUUUAGAGCGUUUUCGGGGUCCGAGUUGAAGAGCAAAACCAAGUGAAGGAAACUUCACUAAGUUCAGGUGACAAGGGAAGAAGUACAGAGUGAACUAUUGGCAUGGCUCAAUCCAUUGACCUGUUUUGGUUCCUGAUGAAGUUUUGUUAAUUUAAAUGAGAAAAAUAAGGACAGUGAAAAACAGAGCGCUUAAAAAGCACUGUCUGGAUAUCUUCAGAGGGAAAAAGGAGAAAGUUAAUUGAAUUGGUGACACUUCGGGUCUCUCACAGAGGAAGGGCCAAGGAGAUUAAGAUCAAGUUGGGAAUUCUCCUCCAGAAGCCAGACUCAGUUGGUGACCUUGUCAUUCCAUACAAUGAGAAGCCAGAGAAACCAGCCAAGACCCAGAAACCCUCGCUGGACGAGGCCCUGCAGUGGCGUGAUUCCCUGGACAAACUGCUACAGAACAACCAUGGACUUGCCAGUUUCAAAAGUUUCCUGAAGUCUGAAUUCAGUGAGGAAAACCUUGAGUUCUGGAU